Dioscorea cayenensis subsp. rotundata (Guinea yam) is the source of this 858-nucleotide long non-coding RNA. RefSeq lists it as uncharacterized. Lineage: Eukaryota; Viridiplantae; Streptophyta; Magnoliopsida; Dioscoreales; Dioscoreaceae. The record is from RefSeq and is a predicted model, not a curated record. The transcript is spliced from 3 exons.
UUGAGUGUUGCCUUUUGUUGGGAUCCAAAUUGAGGUUAUUUGGAGGCUAGAAGGGUGUGGAAAAACCUUAAAAGCAAAGGGUAAGGCUUACAGGCGACCAUGCGCUUGCAUGGAUGCCUGCAAGGGCUUUUCUCGGCCUCCCUUAUGGGCGUAAGGAAUGCCCACAAGGACCCCCGAACUUAGGGUUUUAAAUACCCUUUUUCCUUGUUUUCUUCAUCCCCUUUCAAGCUCUCUUCCUUCUCCAUACCUCUUCUCCUCUAGAUCUCUCUCUUCUCCUUAAACUCCCCAUAUAUUGCCAUUAAAUCAAGGAGGAAGCAUGGUGAUCUCCUUCCUCCCCUCUAGAGAAGGCUCAUCCUUAAGUUUUGAAGGCUUUGAGGAGGCGAGGCAUCGGCCAAGGGUAAAGGACCGGUGGAGAAUUAACACCGGAGUUGGGCGACUCGCCAAGUUUUGCUUGAUUUUGAUAGUGAUAUGGAGCCGAGCUUCGGUACUUAUGAUAGUAACAGAGAGAGAGAGAGAGAGAGUAUCCACGGACUGACCUAGUUGGGGUGGCAUGGAGAACUCAAUUGAGGUACUACCCUUUCAAGAGACAUAUAGAGAAAAUGAAAGGUGUGCAGGGUUGGAUGCUCAGAGUCUUCACACAGGUUCCUUAACGGCCAACACCAAGAGACGCAUAUCUUGGCGGCUCCAGACCUUAUGAUGAGUAUGCCCUGUGUUUGGGGUUGUUGCUCUCUUGGUUAAUAUUACAAUCAUAUUGUGAUUACUUACAUUCUUGUUCUUGUGUAAUAAGGUUGUUGUAUGUCUUCAUUGUUAAAUUGUUCUUUGUUGUUAUAAUGAUAUUGUACGGAGAACAGGUUAGCA